GCAAGUCGAACGGUAACAGGACUAGCUUGCUAGUUGCUGACGAGUGGCGGACGGGUGCGUAACGCGUGGAAAUCUACCUGUGAGUUCGGGACAACCUGAGGAAACUCAGGCUAAUACCGAAUGUGGUCUACGGACUAAAGGUUGCCUCUCCUUGGAAGCAGUCGCUCAUAGAUGAGUCCGCGUUGGAUUAGCUAGAUGGUGGGGUAAAGGCCUACCAUGGCGACGAUCCAUAGCUGGUUUGAGAGGAUGAUC
This 252-nucleotide ribosomal RNA is filed under the name uncultured bacterium. Its description in RNAcentral is "partial 16S ribosomal RNA". It matches the Rfam family "Bacterial small subunit ribosomal RNA", at positions 57 to 305 of the family's 1533-position model. The record is from RNAcentral.